GGAAGAGCAACGUCUCCGGUGAGAUGCGCGGCCUUCAAAGCCGUUGAGAUGCCUAGCAGGUGUCUGGUGGGUUCGACUCCUACCUCUUCCGCCA
This 94-nucleotide transfer RNA is filed under the name Gammaproteobacteria bacterium. RNAcentral's name for it is "tRNA-Sec". It matches the Rfam family "Selenocysteine transfer RNA". Lineage: Bacteria; Pseudomonadati; Pseudomonadota; Gammaproteobacteria. The record is from RNAcentral.